GGACUUGAUAGAGGCGCGGGUUUCAUCAGUAUGUCGGGAUGAUAGUUUGGGAGACUGUCCCGGUAGAAAGGGGAGACCGCCGAAGGAGUGGAAGGAAGAAGAUUUCGGGUAUCCCAGACCACACUCCUGGGACGCAGUCAGAAUAUGCUGCGGACUGUCACAUCAGUGGAGCGCUAUCAUAGGU
RNAcentral lists this non-coding RNA (184 nucleotides) under Dorea sp. RNAcentral describes it as "Lysine sequence". It matches the Rfam family "Lysine riboswitch aptamer". From Rfam's summary of the family: Riboswitches are metabolite binding domains within certain messenger RNAs that serve as precision sensors for their corresponding targets. Allosteric rearrangement of mRNA structure is mediated by ligand binding, and this results in modulation of gene expression. Lineage: Bacteria; Bacillati; Bacillota; Clostridia; Lachnospirales; Lachnospiraceae. The record is from RNAcentral.